GGAGAGGUGGCCGAGCGGUCGAAGGCGCUGGACUGGAAUUCCAGUAAUAUCUAACAAGGUAUUCGUGGGUUCGAAUCCCACCCUCUCCGCCA
RNAcentral lists this transfer RNA (92 nucleotides) under Betaproteobacteria bacterium. RNAcentral's name for it is "tRNA-Ser". It matches the Rfam family "tRNA". From Rfam's summary of the family: Transfer RNA (tRNA) molecules are approximately 80 nucleotides in length. Their secondary structure includes four short double-helical elements and three loops (D, anti-codon, and T loops). The record is from RNAcentral. RNAcentral also lists the same sequence under 2 other names. Lineage: Bacteria; Pseudomonadati; Pseudomonadota; Betaproteobacteria.